GAAAUGCGAUAAGUAAUGUGAAUUGCAGAAUUCAGUGAAUCAUCGAAUCUUUGAACGCACCUUGCGCUCCUUGGUAUUCCUUGGAGCAUGCCUGUUUGAGUAUCAUGAAAUCUUCAAAGUAAAUCUUUUGUUAACUCAAUUGGUUUUUACUUUGGUAUUGGAGGUCUUUGCAGCUUCACACCUGCUCCUCUUUGUUCAUUAGCUGGAUCUCAGUGUUAUGCUUGGUUCCACUCGGCGUGAUAAGUUAUCUAUCGCUGAGGACACUGUAAAAGGUGGCCAAGGUAAAUGCAGAUGAACCGCUUCUAAUAGUCCAUUGACUUGGACAAUACUUUUAUGAUCUGAUCUCAAAUCAGGUAGGACUACCCGCUGAACUUAAGC
This 378-nucleotide unclassified non-coding RNA is filed under the name plant metagenome. RNAcentral's name for it is "partial contains 5.8S ribosomal RNA, internal transcribed spacer 2, and large subunit ribosomal RNA". The stretch from base 1 to 105 matches the Rfam family "5.8S ribosomal RNA", at positions 50 to 154 of the family's 154-position model. The record is from RNAcentral.